GCCGGGCAUGGUAACGUGUGCCUGUAUUCCUAGCUACUUGGGAGGCUGAGGCAGGAGGAUCGCUUAAGCCCGGGGGUUUGAGGCUGCAGUGAGCUGUGAUCGCACCAUUGCACUCCAGCCUGGGCAACAAAGUGAGAUCCUGUAUCAA
RNAcentral lists this non-coding RNA (148 nucleotides) under Chlorocebus sabaeus (green monkey). The record is from Rfam by way of RNAcentral. Lineage: Eukaryota; Metazoa; Chordata; Mammalia; Primates; Cercopithecidae.